GGUCUUUAUAAAAAAUCUGAAACAUUUUUUGUUGUUGUAGAAUUACAUCAUGAUGAUGAUGAUCAGAGCUAUACUGACAUCUGGACAAAGAGCAAAAAUGGAGUCCUGGAUUCACAGUUUAAAGAUUGAAAGUUUUUGUGAACAGAAUUUAGGUUAGCAGCAUAGAAAAAUCACUGCAUGCAGACCUUUCAACUCUGGAAAAGAAACCUUGGGCACCCAAGACCUUGUUGAGGCCAGGGGCAAGAAAUAGCAAGCAGUCUACCUGACCUGCAUGAAAAAUACACAUUUUGCCGGGAAACGAAUCUGACUUCACAUUACGAAAUUUUAGCAAGAGAGAGGCAAUUUGAUGAGCUUUCAUUCAAGAGGUCCUUCGUUGCUGAACGAAAAUUAAGGCUUUGGAGCUAUGAACCUGAACGUUAACAUUACAGCCUCAGAUGGAAAUGCAUUAGUGGAUAAUACCAAUAUUGAGCUCCAUGCUGAUACCUUGUAAAUUGAAUUGGAACUUCAUCAAAGAUUAAAACACAACAAUGAGACACACUAGAUAGUUUUUCAGUACAGACUUCACACCAUAAGAUUUUAACAAGAAAUGGGCAAUUAUAUGAGCUUUCAUUCAAGAGGUCCCUCGUUGCUGAACGAAAAAUAGGGCCGGAGCUAUGAACCGGAACGUUUACAUUUCCGCCUAAGGAAAAUGCAUCAGUGGACCGGAACGUUUACAUUACCGCCUAUGGAAAAUGCAUCAGUGGACUAUACUCAGGAGUUUCAUGUGGAUACGAAGCAACAAGAGUAAAAUGGUCAAACAAAAGGAAAAGGAAGUAAGGGAAUAUUUUUCAGACUGUUGCACAUCAAAUACACUCCCAUGAAUGAAAAUGUGCCCAAGACUUACAGAAUGUAACUAAAAGUGCGGAAGAAUAUUGUGGAAAAGGAUAUGGGAGACCAUAAAGAAAAAAUAUUGAAUGACCUUAAAAGAGUUAAAAAGUAAUAAAUUUGCUAAGAUUUGCACUUUUGAUUGAGUUAUGUCUUAGUGUACAGGAAUUGUUAAUAAUAUAUGUGUGUGCUCAUAGAAAAGAACAUCAUGCAUAUGCAUUGUAAUACCAGUAAAUAUCGUAUUGAAAUUGUUGAUCAUGUUAAGAUUUUCAAAGUUUAUGAUGAGUUACAGUGUGUCUAAUUCCACACAUACAAAAUUCUCUGUCACUGUUUUAAGGGGAAAAAAACCAAAUUGUACCAGUAUGAACAUUUUUUGAAUAUUUUUGGAUGUGUAUUUUUUAUGAGUCAGCCAAUGACUGUUGAAUAUUUAAACUUUCUCUGCAUUUUUGUAUGCAAGCUGAAUAUUAUGCCAGUUUAAAGGUCUAUGGAAUGCAUGUAAGAUGUUAGACAAUCUUUCUGUAAGAUUUGAUAAAUUUGUGUACAUGCAUAUGCAUUUGUGUAUAUUUCAUAUUUGAUGAUAAUUGUUGAAAUUGUUGAUAAAGUUGAGAUUUUCAAAGUUUAUGAUAGUUAUGUAAAUUGAUCAAUUUUGAGUUUAUGAUCAUAAAUUGUUGUUUAAAGUUCCUUUAAGUUGUUGUUUUUCACUUUCCUUAAUAAUGAUGCUCAAUUUUCGUUGAAUUUAUGGGUGCCUCUUAUCUACAAAUUAACUUCGUCCAUGGAUAAAUAAUUAAGGGUUAUAAAUAACGUCCCCGCAAACUUGUAAAAUUUAAGCAAUCCACGAAUUUUAAUGAUUUCACAGUAUAGUUGAUGCAUUUAAAGAUAAAGUUAUCAAAAACUUGAGUGUGUUAAAAAUUUUAAAUCAAAGUACUGAAGUAAUGACGGGAGUUAAUUUUAUUGAUUGUUGUUUAUCUUAAAAUCAACGAUGUGUAAUUUUGUAUGGUAAGUAUAAUAUGUAGUUUCAUAGCUGUAUUCAAAUAAUUUCGCACAUUUUUCUACUAUGAAUUAUCGGGCUUUUCCGAGCUAUAGACGGAAAACCCCACGUGAAUCAUGUUGUGUAAUAUUUAAGAAUAGAUUUAACGCCAUCAAACUCUACCAUGCAUUAUGUAUCAGUAAUUGAAAUAUAUCUUCAAAAUUGCAUCCCAGCAAUAUUGAACUUUGGCGAAGGAAUACAUACGACUACAAAAAAUAUCUAAAUUGUUUGUACCAUUUAAAAUCUGACUAUUUUCAAGGUAUUUAUAAAUAAGUUUCUGUGAAAAACAAUAGUUCGGAAUACAUUACAACAGAAUUAUUAAUUAUUUCCAAGUACUAAGUCUUGUCAGCAGUGAUGAUGUGUGCAUAGGUCCGAACACUGUUUCAAUUUCCGUUUGCCAUAGUAACUGCAUAGGAGAGUUGAUUAAAAUCAACUCACAAAAAUUACUCGAAGGAAAAGCAUACAUGACUGCAAGUAUAAAUACCGCAUAAAGGGAUUUUUUUUUACGUGUCACAAAUUUGCGAAAAUGGGAGAGAUAUGUAAUAUUUUUAAUUUGCGUCAGUCAUUUCUUGCAUUUUGAAAAGUUUCUAAAAGAAAAGAAUAUGGGAUAUUAUUUCUGUGAGUUUAAAAAAUUAAAAUAUAAAAGUGGUCGCGAAAAUUACCUGUAGAUCAUUGCAAAAAUUACCGUAUAUGCGGUAUUGCAUACAUGUUGCAAAGACAGCACUUUAAUUAACUCAGAUGUUUCCCUGAAUUACUUUGUUGGUUAAAAUUGCACAUUUCUGUAUUACCCAGUAAGCCACAGACUUUUCCAUGCUUUAUUGGGUAGAUGUUAUAAAGAAUAAACCCAAAAAAGCAUGGACAAGUCUCUGACUUAAUGGGUAAUGGAUACUAGUAUAGGUAUUUACCCCCCAAAACAGUGACAGUGUUUUACUUACUGUUUACUUAUUGGGUUAUUAUAAGAACAAUACCCAGGAAAGCAUGGGGAAGUGUAAGACUUAUAAGGUAUAACCAACCAAUAAUGGACACG
Long non-coding RNA from Magallana angulata, 2918 nucleotides. RefSeq lists it as uncharacterized. NCBI's taxonomy places the organism in Eukaryota, Metazoa, Mollusca, Bivalvia, Ostreida, Ostreidae. The transcript is spliced from 7 exons. The record is from RefSeq and is a predicted model, not a curated record.